Molecule: transfer RNA, 72 nt
Filed under: Phrynosoma platyrhinos (Desert horned lizard)
Lineage: Eukaryota; Metazoa; Chordata; Lepidosauria; Squamata; Phrynosomatidae
Description: tRNA-OTHER
Source: RNAcentral
GCCAGCAUGGUGCAAUGGUUUGAGCAUUGGACUAUAACUCUGAAGACCAGGGUUCGAAUCCUGACUCCGUCA